RNAcentral lists this long non-coding RNA (3650 nucleotides) under Mizuhopecten yessoensis (Yesso scallop). Its description in RNAcentral is "uncharacterized LOC110448288". The record is from RNAcentral. Lineage: Eukaryota; Metazoa; Mollusca; Bivalvia; Pectinida; Pectinidae.
UCUAAUGUAAAAAACACAUAACGAUCCGGGAGAUAGCUGUGACACUGAAUUUAAACGUAAUAUUUUGUCAGUGUGCGUAGUUCGGCUAAAUAUGGCAGAAACAACAGACCAAAGUGCACCAGCCGGAAGUAUCAAUGCUGAAAAUGGGAUGGGAAUGUCACCUUAUACCAAAAACAGUGCGGAUAUUAGUCGAACUGACAGGAACACUUUCGAAAGUCGUGAUAAACCACUGACUUUCCACGAAAAAGUCCGUUUUAUUUCUCUCCUCGUCUUCAUCCACGCCUCAUUUGCGGUGGCGGUGAUCCUGGCCGCCAUUUACAACCAGUGACGUCAUUUUAUGCUAUGGCAAAGAUGGCGUCUCAGUCUUCCCUAUCCAGGGUUUUUAAUACAAAACAGCUAUUUAGUAGAAUAUAUACUAGUAAGCAUUUUUUUUUUGGAUUAAAUGUGUACACUUUCUCGUGUCUUAUUAUCACAAGAGGACGGCGGCACGACAGAGACGUUAUUACGCGAUCAAGUUUUACAAAUGACAUUUUCUGAACGUACUCUUUUGUAUAACCAUCAAAAACAACAAGGAGGACGUUUUCUGUGGUGUUCAUCAGCUAUUUACCAUCGACCAAUGUCGUCAUAGCAGCAAACGGAAGAUUUUACCAGGGUGUCCAUCAGCUAUUUACCAUAGACCAAUCUCGUCGUCAUAGCAGCAAACGGAAGAUUUUACCAUGGUGUUACGAUUGUUUUGGAUUGUUUAAUCGAAGUCGGAAUGAUGACACGGAGAAAUAAUGCUUUGUUCCAAUUGAUGAUAUUGUAUUCAAUAAGUCCUCCGAUUGAUAAGCACAAUAUAACAAAGUGGAAUUUAUACAAAUAAUACCUAUGAAUUUUCCUGGGGAGUACACUGGUAAUUUGAGCGGAACCUCUCCAGUCGGAAACCUGACUCGGUCGAAUAUCUUUUCUUACAAUUCAUAUACUUCAAUUUAUACAUAAGAUAGGUGUCCACGUUUCUGGGUGUAGCACGUGUCACUAAUUUUAGAACAUCACAUAAAACUGUAUCUAUGUAGAAGAUGUCAGAUUGCCUAAAGCUUAUACGUCUUAUUCGACUUCACCGGUGCAGGUAUUUGUAUCGCUAGCUUAGAGUAAACAGGAAGAUAAUAAUAUACAGUAAUGAUAAACAACAACAUCUGACAUGUAAAAGGACUACCAAUCACAAAUUUAUUGUUGAAACCAGCAGAUGGUAUGGUAUUGAUUAUAAUGAAAGAAAAUGUCCACACUGUAAUUAUACAACAGUCAGCAAAUUGGUGACAGAUUCCAUUACUUACAACAGUCAGCAAAUUGGUGACAGAUUCCAUUACUUGUCUGAGUGUCCGCACUGUCUGUGCAUAGAGUUUUAUAUAUAGAUAAAUAUUUUUGGACGAGACCAAAUGCAAUUCAGUUCUAUGAAUUAAUGAAUACUACUAAUAUAAAAACACUGAAGACACUUUGUACUUUUAUCAGAAUAAUUAAUAACAACAUUUGUCCUCCUUGAUUUAUUAUGAAACAGUACUGUGUACUACCGACUACGAACACUACAAUUACUAUAUAUUAUAUUGUAAAGAUAUUUCUCUAUACGUUGUAUUGAGAAAGAGAAUAGAGUUGUAUUUAAUUGAGUUGAACAUGAUUGAUGCGAUUGAGAUUUGACCAGAACGAAAUAUUGUCAGGUAGACGUUAGUUAUAAUUAAGUUGUAAAUAAUAGCAAUUUCUUUGAAACAAUUUGACAUUAUAAAAUAUAAUGAAACAGUUAAAUAAGAUUGAGAUGUAUAAUGUUCUAAAAAAUAAUAAAAAGGUCCAUUUGAAUUUGUUUCUAUUUUUUACAAUUUCACACUGUAAUAUAUGUCUUAAAACUGUAUAUGGUUGAUGUAAUAUAGCAUGUCUUAGGUAGUAUAUGUCACAAUAAUGUAUCAUAAUUUGUCACAGUACAGUAUAUAUAUAUUACACCACAAUCGAUUAUAUUCCUUUGUAUUUUGUUCAUCAGAAAAACUUUGUUUUUAUAAAGGUUUAUGGGUGGAAUUACGUGGUGAAAACUCAAGCCGUAGACAUGGAUACUAUAUCAUAAUGUAUGCUACAUUUCAUUUCAGGAACGGGAGUUUUUAUUUAAGUGGGAACAAUUUAAGUUGAUGUCCCCUGAGUUUGCUGAACCUUGACGAUGAAUACAGGUAAGCUUUGGUGUAUUGGUGAGACAUGGUACUAGAGACGUGGGUUCGACAAUCACAAACAUCUAGUACUCUUCUUUAGUUCGCCCGAAGUGGUGUAUAACUAGAGCGUGGCUUUAUGUAAAUAUCUACCUGUUGUACAUGUACAGGUAAACAAACCUGCCACACCUGGGUAAAGUAAAGAGGUAAAAAUCAACCGUCAGUCCAAAAUGGCGACGACCAGACCAGAAUUUCAGACGCAGGUGGUGUUUACAGUGUCCAGAGACAGUGUCAGAGACUCCGUGGCAGUGGACAAUGAGCAGGCGGGAGUGUAUGGCUCGCACGUUAAAAAGCUACAGGACAUUGAGCCUUUGAGCUCUAAGGAAAAGAUGAAGGCCGUUUUCCUGUUCGCGUUCCCAGUUGUCUUUUUCGUCAUAGCCGUCAUCCUUACUGCCUUAAACACGCCAUAGACACUUACAGCAGAAAUCAUGUUUACCUCCAAAACUCAGCAGAUGACAUCCUAUAUAGCUAACCGCCAUAGACUCUUACAGCAGAAACGUUAACGAGGCUUACCACAAAAACUCAGCAGACGACAUCCUUAAAACCGCCAUAAGUACACCCGGAGAUAUGUGCAAUAGACAUUAGCGUUACCGCCAUACACAUCUAUAGCAGACGUUAUUCUUACGAUCAUAAUUAAGCAUCUGACGUGAUCAUAACUGCAAUAAAAAGCAGAUGUCUUCCUCGCUAGACAUCUGCAGCAAACGUCAUCCUUACCGCAAUUAAUAGAGACGACAUCAUACGUUCGUGAUAACACUCCAUAGAUAUCCUUAAUUAUCAUGCUUUCUCCAUCUUACAUUUAUCCCUUUCAAGCUUACAUCACACAAGAAAGUACCCUGUACAUAUUUAUUUCUUUCAAAUACUAAUGGAAUGUACCUGAUAGUCGCAUGAAAAUUGGAAUCCUGGUCGAACUCAGAUAUCCAAGUUUGAAACUCCAUACUUGUUGGCUCGUUGUGAUAUACAGCGCCAGAGAAAGGAUCAAAUACGACUGACUUAAAUGGGAUGAAGACAAACUGUAGGAGGGACAUCAGUUGACAUUUUCAUGUUUAUUUUAUACCAUCAUCAACUAUUGACAAAAUAAAUAUAUAUAUCUCAAUAUUAUAGAACUCUUUCAUGCACAGGGUUGUAGGAUAAAGAAAAUCAACCAGAGGGGUUUUCAAAUUUGGUAAAAAACCCAGGCUUUUGCCAAAUUUGAAAAUCCGGAGGGUGGAAUUUCCCUAUACUAUACCCUUGGGCAUGAAAGGGUAUUUUUCUCUCAUUCCAACCACCAGAACAAGCUCGGAAACCAUGACAAAUGCGUUUAUACUGGCUACCAUUUUGAAAAUAUCAAUCACCACCCCCAAGCUUUUCAGACAGCUCCAUCUUACACACGGGGAAAUGAGAGAAAAACUAUUAUUAAUCAUAAUUAAAGACCAAUAAAAAGAGAAACAACAA